RNAcentral lists this long non-coding RNA (487 nucleotides) under Gallus gallus (chicken). The record is from RNAcentral. Lineage: Eukaryota; Metazoa; Chordata; Aves; Galliformes; Phasianidae.
AUGAAGCUCUGCUCAAGGGGAAACAAGAAAUGAUCCAAAUAGUUCUUGCAGAGCUUCCAGGCACCCUCACUGACUACCUACUUGUUGAGAUCAGCAGUGUCAGUGACCCCAGUGUUACCUCCUACGCAGUUAGCAGAACCGUGAUGUGGAACCUUCUGACCCAUGGCAUGCAGUUGGUGAAAGCCAGUGAUUUUCACUUCAUAAUGCAAUCAUCUCAGACAGUGGAAAGGCAGUACUGGUGAAAUGCAGGUCUAAUCAGAUGCAACUAGUUGAUGAGGAAAGCGAGAUUCUCACCGUCAUGUUUUCUCAUAGUCAUGGAAACAAGAAUUAAAAUAAAAAUCAAACAAUCUCCUCCUGUCUCUUGUUCUGCUAGUUCAUCAUGACCUUCAAGUGCAUAUUUUCCAUUGACUUUGUUCAGAUUGGUGUGGCCAGUUUGGGAUGAAACAGUGGAAACAGAGCAAUGUUUUGAAAAUGUUUUGAACUUCCC